UGCCAGCCGCCGCGGUAAUACGGAGGGGGUUAGCGUUGUUCGGAAUUACUGGGCGUAAAGCGUACGUAGGCGGAUUAAUAAGUUAGAGGUGAAAUCCCAGGGCUCAACCCUGGAACUGCCUUUAAAACUGUUAGUCUUGAGAUCGAGAGAGGUGAGUGGAAUUCCGAGUGUAGAGGUGAAAUUCGUAGAUAUUGGAUGGAACACCAGUGGCGAAGGCGAUUUUCUGGACUUAUAUUGACGCUGAGAUGCGAAGGCAUGGGUAGCAAACAGGAUUAGAUA
Molecule: ribosomal RNA, 279 nt
Filed under: uncultured bacterium
Lineage: Bacteria
Description: partial 16S ribosomal RNA
Rfam family: Bacterial small subunit ribosomal RNA
Source: RNAcentral